This 454-nucleotide ribosomal RNA is filed under the name Streptomyces sp. RKBH-B152. Its description in RNAcentral is "bacterial SSU rRNA". It matches the Rfam family "Bacterial small subunit ribosomal RNA", at positions 1 to 461 of the family's 1533-position model. Lineage: Bacteria; Bacillati; Actinomycetota; Actinomycetes; Kitasatosporales; Streptomycetaceae. The record is from RNAcentral.
UUUAGAGUUUGAUCCUGGCUCAGGACGAACGCUGGCGGCGUGCUUAACACAUGCAAGUCGAACGAUGAACCGCUUUCGGGCGGGGAUUAGUGGCGAACGGGUGAGUAACACGUGGGCAAUCUGCCCUGCACUCUGGGACAAGCCCUGGAAACGGGGUCUAAUACCGGAUAUGACUGUCNGCCGCAUGGUGGAUGGUGUAAAGCUCCGGCGGUGCAGGAUGAGCCCGCGGCCUAUCAGCUUGUUGGUGAGGUAGUGGCUCACCAAGGCGACGACGGGUAGCCGGCCUGAGAGGGCGACCGGCCACACUGGGACUGAGACACGGCCCAGACUCCUACGGGAGGCAGCAGUGGGGAAUAUUGCACAAUGGGCGAAAGCCUGAUGCAGCGACGCCGCGUGAGGGAUGACGGCCUUCGGGUUGUAAACCUCUUUCAGCAGGAAGAAGCGAAAGGACGAC